Acanthosepion pharaonis is the source of this 94-nucleotide non-coding RNA. NCBI's taxonomy places the organism in Eukaryota, Metazoa, Mollusca, Cephalopoda, Sepiida, Sepiidae. The record is from the annotation of a GenBank genome assembly.
AAAACACUGGUUCCUAUACGAUCAGCGAAGUUAAGCAACAUCGAACCUGGUUAGUACUUAGAUGGUUGACCGCUUGGAAAUAGCAGAUGCUGUU